GAUGAACGCUGGCGGCGUGCUUAACACAUGCAAGUCGAACGGUGAAGCAGGAGCUUGCUCUUGUGGAUCAGUGGCGAACGGGUGAGUAACACGUGAGCAACCUGCCCCUGACUCUGGGAUAAGCGCUGGAAACGGCGUCUAAUACUGGAUAUGUGAUGUGACCGCAUGGUCUGCAUCUGGAAAGAAUUUCGGUUGGGGAUGGGCUCGCGGCCUAUCAGCUUGUUGGUGAGGUAAUGGCUCACCAAGGCGUCGACGGGUAGCCGGCCUGAGAGGGUGACCGGCCACACUGGGACUGAGACACGGCCCAGACUCCUACGGGAGGCAGCAGUAGGGAAUCUUCCGCAAUGGACGAAAGUCUGACGGAGCAACGCCGCGUGAGCGAAGAAGGCCUUCGGGUCGUAAACCGCUUUCAGCAGGGAUGAAACUGACAGUACCCGCAGAAGAAGCCCCGGCUAACUACGUGCCAGCCGCCGCCGUAA
Molecule: ribosomal RNA, 479 nt
Filed under: uncultured bacterium
Lineage: Bacteria
Description: partial 16S ribosomal RNA
Rfam family: Bacterial small subunit ribosomal RNA
Source: RNAcentral